CCCUUAGAUGUUCUGGGCCGCACGCGCGCUACACUGUUCGACGCAGCGAGUCUUAACCUUGACCGAAAGGUUUGGGUAAUCUUCAGCAAAGUCGAACGUGAUGGGGAUCGAUCAUUGCAAUUAUUGAUCGUGAACGAGGAAUUCCUAGUAAGUGCAAGUCAUCAGCUUGCGCUGAUUACGUCCCUGCCCUUUGUACACAACGCCCGUCGCUACUACCGAUUGAAUGGUUUAGUGAGAUCUCUGGAUUGACGCUGGCUAGGGGGCGACCCUUGGCCAGGCUGUCGAGAAACUGCUCAAACUUGAUCAUUUAGAGGAAGUAAAAGUCGUAACA
RNAcentral lists this ribosomal RNA (331 nucleotides) under uncultured eukaryote. RNAcentral's name for it is "partial 18S ribosomal RNA". It matches the Rfam family "Eukaryotic small subunit ribosomal RNA", at positions 1470 to 1796 of the family's 1831-position model. The record is from RNAcentral.